RNAcentral lists this transfer RNA (69 nucleotides) under Sphaerodactylus townsendi. Its description in RNAcentral is "tRNA-Ala". The record is from RNAcentral. Lineage: Eukaryota; Metazoa; Chordata; Lepidosauria; Squamata; Sphaerodactylidae.
GCAGUGGCUCAGUGGUAGAGCAUCUGCUUGGCUUGCAGUGGGCCUGAGGUUCGGUCCCCAGCAUCUCCA